Non-coding RNA from Schistosoma mattheei, 45 nucleotides. Lineage: Eukaryota; Metazoa; Platyhelminthes; Trematoda; Strigeidida; Schistosomatidae. The record is from Rfam.
AUCUAGAUGAGGAGUCCCGAAUAGGAGGAAACGUGCGUUCUGGAU